AUUGAACGCUGGCGGCAUGCUUUACACAUGCAAGUCGAACGGCAGCGCGGGCUUCGGCCUGGCGGCGAGUGGCGAACGGGUGAGUAAUACAUCGGAACGUGCCCAGUAGUGGGGGAUAGCUCGGCGAAAGCCGGAUUAAUACCGCAUACGACCUGAGGGUGAAAGCGGGGGAUCUUCGGACCUCGCGCUAUUGGAGCGGCCGAUGGCAGAUUAGCUAGUUGGUGGGGUAAAGGCCUACCAAGGCGACGAUCUGUAGCUGGUCUGAGAGGACGACCAGCCACACUGGGACUGAGACACGGCCCAGGCGCCUACGGGAGGCAGCAGUGGGGAAUUUUGGACAAUGGGCGAAAGCCUGAUCCAGCAAUGCCGCGUGUGUGAUGAAGGCCUUCGGGUUGUAAAGCACUUUUGGCGGGAACGAAAAGGACUGUGCCAAUACCACGGUUCGAUGACGGUACCCGCAGAAUAAGCACCGGCUAACUACGUG
This 484-nucleotide ribosomal RNA is filed under the name uncultured bacterium. RNAcentral's name for it is "partial 16S ribosomal RNA". It matches the Rfam family "Bacterial small subunit ribosomal RNA", at positions 29 to 507 of the family's 1533-position model. The record is from RNAcentral.